RNAcentral lists this long non-coding RNA (326 nucleotides) under Gossypium raimondii (Peruvian cotton). RNAcentral's name for it is "long non-coding RNA (GRAI_LNC001284)". The record is from RNAcentral. Lineage: Eukaryota; Viridiplantae; Streptophyta; Magnoliopsida; Malvales; Malvaceae.
UGCGAUAGUGGCGUGGUAGCGGUGGUGAGAUAAGAGGAGUUGUGGAAGAGAGGAGAGGUUUAGGGGUGAUGUGGUGGUGAUCUGGUGAAUAAGUGGUGGUCAACGGUGGUAGUAUGGUGGCAAAAAUCAACAACGAUGGUGGUUGAAGGAUGAGGAAAAGUGAGAAAAAGAUGAGAGGAGAAGAAUAAAAAAUAAAAAUGAAAAUUUGGGGUUGUCUAGGUGCAUGGUCGACCAAGGUAUGCUAAGGAAAAUAAAAUGGCAAUAGAGGGACAAAGGAACCAAAAGUGGAUCAUAGGAGUGAAAAGGGGGCUAUGUAUGGUAAGUUG